GUAGGUGAACCUGCGGAAGGAUCAUUAGAAAGAUCGACAAUAUGGACGAUCAAAUCCAUAUCCACCUUGUGUGCACUCAUUGACCGUUUGCUUUGGCAGGAAGGAGCCUUCGAUCCUCUUUGUGAUCCGGAGGCGCCGAGGUGUGUCAUCGACAGCCUCGGGCCUGCCAGAGUUUUUUUUUCCUGAACUCACGCCUAUUCUUCUUCUUUUUGCUUGGACUGAACCUUUGUCCCGAUUCUCUUGUGGGAUC
RNAcentral lists this unclassified non-coding RNA (250 nucleotides) under plant metagenome. RNAcentral describes it as "partial contains small subunit ribosomal RNA, internal transcribed spacer 1, and 5.8S ribosomal RNA". The record is from RNAcentral.